This 460-nucleotide ribosomal RNA is filed under the name uncultured bacterium. RNAcentral describes it as "partial 16S ribosomal RNA". It matches the Rfam family "Bacterial small subunit ribosomal RNA", at positions 338 to 795 of the family's 1533-position model. The record is from RNAcentral.
CCUACGGGAGGCAGCAGUGAGGAAUAUUGGUCAAUGGACGAGAGUCUGAACCAGCCAAGUAGCGUGAAGGAUGACGGCCCUAUGGGUUGUAAACUGCUUUUAUAAAGGAAUAAAACGAGGCACGUGUGCCUUGUUGCAUGUACUUUAUGAAUAAGGAUCGGCUAACUCCGUGCCAGCAGCCGCGGUAAUACGGAGGAUCCGAGCGUUAUCCGGAUUUAUUGGGUUUAAAGGGAGCGUAGAUGGGUUGUUAAGUCAGUUGUGAAAGUUUGCGGCUCAACCGUAAAAUUGCAAUUGAUACUGGCAGUCUUGAGUACAGUUGAGGUAGGCGGAAUUCGUGGUGUAGCGGUGAAAUGCUUAGAUAUCACGAAGAACCCCGAUUGCGAAGGCAGCUUACUAAACUGUGACUGACAUUGAUGCUCGAAAGUGUGGGUAUCAAACAGGAUUAGAUACCCUGGUAGUC